This 103-nucleotide non-coding RNA is filed under the name Thermotalea metallivorans. RNAcentral's name for it is "SAM-I sequence". It matches the Rfam family "SAM riboswitch aptamer (S box leader)". Rfam says of the family: The SAM riboswitch is found upstream of a number of genes which code for proteins involved in methionine or cysteine biosynthesis in Gram-positive bacteria. The SAM riboswitch acts at the level of transcription termination control. The record is from Rfam by way of RNAcentral. Lineage: Bacteria; Bacillati; Bacillota; Clostridia; Peptostreptococcales; Thermotaleaceae.
GCCUUAUCAAGAGCGGUGGAGGGAAUAGGCCCAAGGAAACCCGGCAACCGGUAGCAAUACACGGUGCUAAAUCCUACAGAUCACGUAAUCUGAAAGAUGAGGA